CAAUAGCGUAUACUAAAGUUGCUGCAGUUAAAAAGCUCGUAGUUGGAUUUCUGGUCGUGGUCGCCGGUCGUGCCCAAACGGGUUCUGUACCUGGCGCCCGCGUCCAUCCUCGGGGAGAGCGUGUCUGGCAUUAAGUUGUCGGGCUCGGGACCCCCGUCAUUUACUGUGAGCAAAAUAGAGUGUUCAAAGCAGGCUUAGGCCAUGAAUACAUUAGCAUGGAAUAAUAAGAUAAGACCUUGGUCUAUUUUGUUGGUUUGCAUUCCAAGGUAAUGAUUAAUAGGGAUAGUUGGGGGUAUUCGUAUUCAAUUGUCAGAGGUGAAAUUCUUGGAUUUAUGGAAGACGAACUACUGCGAAAGCAUUUACCAAGGAUGUUUUCAUUAAUCAAGAACGAAAGUUAGGGGAUCGAAGACGAUCAGAUACCGU
Molecule: ribosomal RNA, 423 nt
Filed under: uncultured eukaryote
Lineage: Eukaryota
Description: SSU rRNA
Rfam family: Eukaryotic small subunit ribosomal RNA
Source: RNAcentral